RNAcentral lists this ribosomal RNA (429 nucleotides) under Chloroflexota bacterium. Its description in RNAcentral is "Chloroflexi bacterium partial 16S ribosomal RNA". It matches the Rfam family "Bacterial small subunit ribosomal RNA", at positions 355 to 776 of the family's 1533-position model. The record is from RNAcentral. Lineage: Bacteria; Bacillati; Chloroflexota.
UGGGGAAUAUUGCACAAUGGGCGCAAGCCUGAUGCAGCCAUGCCGCGUGUGUGAAGAAGGCCUUCGGGUUGUAAAGCACUUUCAGCGGGGAGGAAGGCGGUGAGGUUAAUAACCUCAUCGAUUGACGUUACCCGCAGAAGAAGCACCGGCUAACUCCGUGCCAGCAGCCGCGGUAAUACGGAGGGUGCAAGCGUUAAUCGGAAUUACUGGGCGUAAAGCGCACGCAGGCGGUCUGUCAAGUCGGAUGUGAAAUCCCCGGGCUCAACCUGGGAACUGCAUUCGAAACUGGCAGGAGAGAGUCUUGUAGAGGGGGGUAGAAUUCCAGGUGUAGCGGUGAAAUGCGUAGAGAUCUGGAGGAAUACCGGUGGCGAAGGCGGCCCCCUGGACAAAGACUGACGCUCAAGUGCGAAAGCGUGGGGAGCAAACAGG